Molecule: ribosomal RNA, 497 nt
Filed under: uncultured bacterium
Lineage: Bacteria
Description: partial 16S ribosomal RNA
Rfam family: Bacterial small subunit ribosomal RNA
Source: RNAcentral
GAUGAACGCUGGCGGCGUGCCUAAUACAUGCAAGUCGAGCGAACAGACGAGGAGCUUGCUCCUCUGACGUUAGCGGCGGACGGGUGAGUAACACGUGGAUAACCUACCUAUAAGACUGGGAUAACUUCGGGAAACCGGAGCUAAUACCGGAUAAUAUAUUGAACCGCAUGGUUCAAUAGUGAAAGACGGUUUUGCUGUCACUUAUAGAUGGAUCCGCGCCGCAUUAGCUAGUUGGUAAGGUAACGGCUUACCAAGGCAACGAUGCGUAGCCGACCUGAGAGGGUGAUCGGCCACACUGGAACUGAGACACGGUCCAGACUCCUACGGGAGGCUGCAGUAGGGAAUCUUCCGCAAUGGGCGAAAACUUGACGGAGCAACGCCGCGUGAGUGAUGAAGGUCUUCGGAUCGUAAAACUCUGUUAUUAGGGAAGAACAAAUGUGUAAGUAACUAUGCACGUCUUGACGGUACCUAAUCAGAAAGCCACGGCUAACUACGUG